AGAAUCAACGCUGGCGGCGUGCCUAACACAUGCAAGUCGCACGAGAAAGUAGACUUCGGUCUGCGAGUAAAGUGGCGCACGGGUGAGUAACACGUGAAUUAUCUACCUCCGAGUGGGGAAUAACUUCGGGAAACCGAGGCUAAUACCGCAUAACACUUACGAGUCAAAGCAGCAAUGCGCUUGGAGAGGAGUUCGCGGCAGAUUAGUUAGUUGGCGGGGUAAUGGCCCACCAAGACGAUGAUCUGUAUCCGGCCUGAGAGGGCGCACGGACACACUGGAACUGAAACACGGUCCAGACUCCUACGGGAGGCAGCAGUGGGGAAUUUUGCGCAAUGGGGGAAACCCUGACGCAGCAACGCCGCGUGGAGGAUGAAGUCCCUUGGGACGUAAACUCCUUUCGAUCGGGACGAUAAUGACGGUACCGGAAGAAGAAGCCCCGGCUAACUUCGCGCCAGCAGCCGC
Molecule: ribosomal RNA, 462 nt
Filed under: uncultured bacterium
Lineage: Bacteria
Description: SSU rRNA
Rfam family: Bacterial small subunit ribosomal RNA
Source: RNAcentral